This 622-nucleotide long non-coding RNA is filed under the name Apteryx rowi (Okarito brown kiwi). Its description in RNAcentral is "lncRNA (ENSARWG00000008459.1)". The record is from RNAcentral. Lineage: Eukaryota; Metazoa; Chordata; Aves; Apterygiformes; Apterygidae.
GCCGGGCCCCGCAGGCAUCGGCCUCCUCCAUCGCUGUCGGCGGGGCGGGCGCCUCCGACUCAUUUCGCUUAUUCCGCCGCCCGCCCUGCCGUGCGCGUGUCCGUGUCCGGGCGCGGCGCGGGCGGUGCGGCGCGGCGGAGAGCUCCGGCUUCACCGGUGGCCCCGCUGUGAAAUGAAGCCUGAAGAUGAACAGGAGGCUGAGACCACCCAGACUGCUGGGAAGGUGGAGCCUGUUAAUGCUGUGCUCAUCCAAAGGCACCCAAAUGCCCUGCAGACUCUUGGACAACAGUUGCUCCGUAGUUUGAGGGAGCCAAGAACUCCUGAGCCGAGAAGAAGGUGCUGCAAAAAUUGGAUCUGCCUGUUGGCAGGCCUAUUGUUUCUUGCUGGACUUGUGCUGUUCAUUUUACAUGAGGGGAAUAUCCUUUCUGGUCACCCAAAUGCCAAAGUACACUAUGAAGAACUUCCUUCUGAACAGUGCCCCAGUGAGUGGAUCGGUUACAGAAAGAAAUGUUAUUUCAUCUCAGAGGAGGAGAAAAACUGGACAUCUAGUCAGACCUUCUGUGCUAAGAAUGGAUCUUUGCUUGCUGUUUCUGAAAACCAGAAAGAAAUGCUAAGCGCUUGA